This 412-nucleotide ribosomal RNA is filed under the name uncultured bacterium. RNAcentral describes it as "bacterial SSU rRNA". It matches the Rfam family "Bacterial small subunit ribosomal RNA", at positions 355 to 775 of the family's 1533-position model. The record is from RNAcentral.
UCGAGGAUCUUCGGCAAUGGGCGCAAGCCUGACCGAGCGACGCCGCGUGUGCGACGAAGGCCUUCGGGUUGUAAAGCACUGUCGUGAGGGAGAAAAGGGGCAACCCUUGAUCGACCUCAGGAGGAAGCACGGGCUAAGUUCGUGCCAGCAGCCGCGGUAAGACGAACCGUGCGAACGUUGUUCGGAAUCACUGGGCUUAAAGGGCGCGUAGGCGGGCUCUCAAGUCAGGGGUGAAAGCCCGCGGCUCAACCGCGGAAGCGCCUUUGAUACUGGGGGCCUCGAGGGGGGUAGGGGCGUGCGGAACUUCCGGUGGAGCGGUGAAAUGCGUAGAUAUCGGAAGGAACACCGGUGGCGAAAGCGGCGCGCUGGACCCCUUCUGACGCUGAGGCGCGAAAGCCAGGGGAGCAAACGG